Molecule: ribosomal RNA, 504 nt
Filed under: uncultured bacterium
Lineage: Bacteria
Description: partial 16S ribosomal RNA
Rfam family: Bacterial small subunit ribosomal RNA
Source: RNAcentral
AUUGAACGCUGGCGGCAGGCCUAACACAUGCAAGUCGAACGGUAGCACAGAGAGCUUGCUCUCGGGUGACGAGUGGCGGACGGGUGAGUAACGUCUGGGAAACUGCCCGAUGGAGGGGGAUAACUACUGGAAACGGUAGCUAAUACCGCAUAACGUCGCAAGACCAAAGUGGGGGACCUUCGGGCCUCACACCAUCGGAUGUGCCCAGAUGGGAUUAGCUAGUAGGUGGGGUAAUGGCUCACCUAGGCGACGAUCCCUAGCUGGUCUGAGAGGAGGACCAGCCAAACUGGAACUGAGACACGGUCCAGACUCCUACGGGAGGCAGCAGUGGGGAAUAUUGCACAAUGGGCGCAAGCCUGAUGCAGCCAUGCCGCGUGUAUGAAGAAGGCCUUCGGGUUGUAAAGUACUUUCAGCGGGGAGGAAGGCGGUGAAGUUAAUAGCUUAACCGAUUGACGUUACCCGCAGAAGAAGCACCGGCUAACUCCGUGCCAGCCGCCGCGGUAA